Long non-coding RNA from Xiphias gladius (swordfish), 424 nucleotides. RefSeq lists it as uncharacterized. The record is from RefSeq and is a predicted model, not a curated record. NCBI's taxonomy places the organism in Eukaryota, Metazoa, Chordata, Actinopteri, Istiophoriformes, Xiphiidae. The transcript is spliced from 3 exons.
GUCUCGUCAUUCAGUAAGUGUAUUCACUGUCCAUUGUGAGAUUGGAUGUAGGCUAAUCACGGAUGAUAUUGGACAUAUUGGACAUUUCCAAUCACAGCGCUUCUUUUUAUUGUGAGACUGGAUUACUUACUACAGGAGAACAGUGCUCAAGAUCAGCUGACGGCAAUUUUUUAUGCUUUCAUCUGUCAGUAGUGCAAAACAACUAAUCAAAAUGAGCACUAAACCUUAGACCCACAGAGCCAUGGAAGACAGAGAGUGGAGAGCAAGGCUGAGGGCAUUUGCCAGCUAAGGGGUUUGGCCUUCUAGAGGAGUUCUCUAAAUCACAUUUUGGUGGGUCAUAGUCUGCCUAACUGAAGCCCAAUUUCGUGGCAAGGAGCACCCCCUGCCUUGCUCAUUCCUCUCCAGGAUGUGCCAGGUGUUCAGC